Molecule: ribosomal RNA, 432 nt
Filed under: Boophis quasiboehmei
Lineage: Eukaryota; Metazoa; Chordata; Amphibia; Anura; Mantellidae
Description: partial 16S ribosomal RNA
Rfam family: Bacterial large subunit ribosomal RNA
Source: RNAcentral
GAGGAUCCUACUGUCUCCCCCCUCUAAUCAGUGAAACUGAUCUCCCCGUGAAGAAGCGGGGAUAUACAUAUAAGACGAGAAGACCCCAUGGAGCUUUAAACCUGACAGCACCCGCUCAUUCUAUACCCCAUUAUUUGCCCGACCCCUGUCUGCUCAGUUUUAGGUUGGGGUGACCACGGAGUAUAAAAUAACCUCCAUGAAGAAGGGGAUAUUUCCCUUAUUAGAGAACCACACUUCCAAGAACUAAUAAAUUAAUUUUCAAUGACCCGAUACCCGAUAAUCGAUCAACGAACCAAGUUACCCUGGGGAUAACAGCGCAAUCCACCCUGAAAGCCCUUAUUAACAGGUGGGUUUACGACCUCGAUGUUGGAUCAGGGUAUCCCAGUGGUGCAGCAGCUACUGAGGGUUCGUUUGUUCAACGAUUAAAACCCU